GAUGAACGCUGGCGGCGUGCCUAAUACAUGCAAGUCGAGCGAACAGAUAAGGAGCUUGCUCCUUUGACGUUAGCGGCGGACGGGUGAGUAACACGUGGGUAACCUACCUAUAAGACUGGGAUAACUUCGGGAAACCGGAGCUAAUACCGGAUAAUAUUUCGAACCGCAUGGUUCGAUAGUGAAAGAUGGUUUUGCUAUCACUUAUAGAUGGACCCGCGCCGUAUUAGCUAGUUGGUAAGGUAACGGCUUACCAAGGCGACGAUACGUAGCCGACCUGAGAGGGUGAUCGGCCACACUGGAACUGAGACACGGUCCAGACUCCUACGGGAGGAAGCAGUAGGGAAUCUUCCGCAAUGGGCGAAAGCCUGACGGAGCAACGCCGCGUGAGUGAUGAAGGUCUUCGGAUCGUAAAACUCUGUUAUUAGGGAAGAACAUACGUGUAAGUAACUGUGCACGUCUUGACGGUACCUAAUCAGAAAGCCACGGCUAACUACGUG
This 497-nucleotide ribosomal RNA is filed under the name uncultured bacterium. RNAcentral's name for it is "partial 16S ribosomal RNA". It matches the Rfam family "Bacterial small subunit ribosomal RNA", at positions 28 to 507 of the family's 1533-position model. The record is from RNAcentral.